Pelobates cultripes (western spadefoot toad) is the source of this 215-nucleotide non-coding RNA. NCBI's taxonomy places the organism in Eukaryota, Metazoa, Chordata, Amphibia, Anura, Pelobatidae. The record is from the annotation of a GenBank genome assembly.
GGCCACAUCUGCGGAGUACCACAGUGGUUUCUUGAAUUUUUUGCUUUUACUGACAAGCCUAAUGCAAUUUUCUGUUGACUUCAGUAGUGCAACUUUUAAAUAAUCCUAUUUCUCUUGGACUCCAUUUAAAUUGCUCCAGUCUGAUAAUGACUCCUCUACACAUAUUCUAAUUGCAUAUUCUAAAUGCAUUAUUUACAUUACAGCCUAGUGAUAAC